RNAcentral lists this unclassified non-coding RNA (961 nucleotides) under Hevea brasiliensis (rubber tree). Lineage: Eukaryota; Viridiplantae; Streptophyta; Magnoliopsida; Malpighiales; Euphorbiaceae. The record is from RNAcentral.
AAAAUAUUUAUUUAUUGAAGACCUUAUUCCCUUGCUUAUUCAAAACCAACAAAUUCUCAAUCUGCUUACUCAAGAACUCAAAUAUGGGUGAAUCAAGAUUUAUCAAAGCCCAAAGCUGAGUGUCUCAAACUGAAUCCUCCAUCAACUGCAAGAUUCAAUCCACUCACAAACUUAGACUCUUCACUUCCAAGAUACAAAGCCGCCUCAGCCAUAUCGUUUACAUCUAUUUUUACUCCUUUCAAGUUUGCUAUAGCUGAAUUCACUGCCUCCAACGUCUUCUCAUCCAAACCCAUAGCUCGCCCAACCGAAGGGGUGAACACAGCCGCUGGCGAAAUGCAAUUAACUCUUAUCCCAUGCUGCCCCAGUUCUACAGCCAAGUUCUUGGUUAUUCCAACAACUGCAUGCUUUGAAGCUGUGUAAGCAUGUGGAACGCCGCCGUAAAUCACCGCAGCAAGACUUGCCGUAAAUAGAAUACAGCCUUUCUUUUCUGGUAUCAUUACUCUGGCAGCAUGUUUUGCUCCCAAUAAUCCACCAUAAACGUUUAUGUCCAUAACUUUCUUGAAAUCUUCAGCUUCUGUUGAAAAUAUGCUUGGAUCGUAUUUCCCUGUGAUUCCUGCGUUGUUGAACAUUAUGUCAAGCUUUCCAUGCUUUGAAACGACUGUGUUCACCGCGUUUUCUACAUCUGAUUCUUUGGUAACAUCGCAGUGGACGUAGGAAACUGGUUGUCCAGUUUCUGACUCCAUUUUCUUCGAUACUGAGUGACCCAACUCGGAUUGGACAUCUGCAAUUACCACCUUGGCUCCAUUCCGGGCAAAGAGUCUUGCAGUGGUCUCGCCGAUUCCGCUAGCGCCGCCAGUUAUUAAGGCCGCCUUGCCUUGUAAUCUCUUAGCAAAAGAAGCAAGGGAGGAAGGGCCUGGCAUGAUCCUUGCUACUAUAUGGUAGCUAGUCUCUUGGUGAGAAA